CGAAAUUAAACAUCAAACAUCCACACUUCAGUUAUAUAUAUAUAUACAUAUAAAAAAAGAACAAUGAUUUAUAAUGUCUUGAAUGUGUGACGCUGUCAACAUCCGAGUCCUUUCCCACUAAAGAAAGCUGGAGAAAAUGGUAGAUUAGGAUAAAAAGUUUCAGAUAAAAAAAUUAAUAGCAGGUAUCGAGCCAUCACCUUUGGUAUAUCCCAAACUGUUUUCCUCCCACUUAGAGCCUCUAUCUUGGGGACAUGAGUCUCCUUAGCUUUCAAAAAUCUCAGUUGUUCGCCUACAUUUUUCCCUUCCUCUAAACCAGCAUGCGCGGCAAUCAAUUUACAGUGUCUAAUUCCUUCUUCAUCCUCUAUGCACACAUCAUCCUGGAAAAGAAAAUGUUAAGAGAUUAAUAUAAAAUUAUUCUUGAGACUUCACCUAAUAGCUUAAAUUUUUUAAUUGAUAUCUUAAGUUUUUGAGUUGAUAGCUUAAGUUUUGAGGUUGAGAUAAUUAUUUGAUAUGAUUUUAAAGUUUUCAUAACCAAACGCUUAUGAAUUCAAAUAUCACAUGGUAUUAAUAAUCAAAUGAUUAUGAGUUCAAAUCUCACCAUCUUUUUCUAACAAAUAAAAUUAAUCACCGGGUAAUAAUAUAAAACCAUUAUCGGGGCUUCACUUGAUAGCUUAUGCUGUUGGGUUGGGUUUUUUGACAGAAAAUUGCACAUUAUGAAACCCACCAAGCUUCAUCCAUUGUCCCUACUGAUCACAUCAAACUACAAAGUAUGGAACUCGCGUUAUGUAAUAUACUCGCGUUAUGUAAAAUCAUCAUUGAUCAAAGUUCUAAACGAUAAAGGUGGCAAUGAAAUAAACUUCACCUCUUCAUGGACCCAAACCGUAUCAGCUAGAAACUUCUUGUGAUCAUCAGGAACUGCCUUCAAUAAGUCUGUCUCGAUGCAAAAAUUUACACCAAUAAAUCACACUAUUAAUUGUAUUGAAUUCAGAACCAUCUCAAGUGUAAAAAAUGCAAGAAUCUAAAGAUUCCAAUCCUCCAUUAAUGAUUAUACUAAUCCAAAAUAUAUUAUUUUUACCCUCUUACAUUAAAAAACUAAGAAUCAAACAACUCAAACACAAUCUACUCAGUUCAAAACUGAUAGACAACAAUAGCCUAUUUCAUAUUUAACAACUAAAACACCAAACAACAGCGAUACAUUUCCAAACAAACAUGGAGACGUAAUUAAGCUAUUGAUAAUUAAAACUUCAAUCAAUGAAAGACUAAAAGAAAACAAGACAUACCAGAAGAUCCAUGAGGGACACCAUAGGAAGCGAAAGUGGGACCAGCAUCAUAAAUAGAGCCCUUACAUUCAGUCCCUUUAAUGGUAUUGAAUCCCACCUUAAUAUGACCAGCCCACCUUCUCCCUUCCAAAUGCAUAUUCUCAUACCCGUCUCCUUUAUACCACCCUUCCCUGUCCUCACUCUCUUCAUACUCCUCCCAUCCUUCCUUAAAUGACACCCCAUUUUGCGGUUCAGGCAGGACACCAACAAAAGCAGCAAAAGCAAAGUCAUGAUUUCCCGAAAGAAACACAUGCUUUUGAUUUGGAUACCUUGAAGGUAAGUCUAUCAAGAAAUCUAGGACUUUCUUGGUAUCUGGGCCUCUGUCACAGUAAUCGCCUAAGAAGAUAAUUGUUGCAGCGUUAAAGUGUUGGGGGUCGAAUUGGGUUUCGAGAUUUGACCAAAGAUUUUGAAGCUUUGUGAUGUGGCCAUGGAUGUCGCCUAUGCAGAUUACUAAUCUGGGUUUUGCGACCGUGCUGUUGUUGCUUGGCUCUGCCUCUGUCAUUUUGGGUUCCGUGGUGGUUCUGUUCUGUCCUUCGAUUGAUAAAGAGAAUGCUUUUGGGUACAUCUAUUAGUAUUGGUCUGGUUUAGUGCUUGAUUUUUUUAUAACUAGAGCUUGAAAGAGAAGUUCUUCUUGCCUUCUUGGCUGGCUGAUAACGACUCUUUCUGUUGCCAGUUGUGUCGUAGGGAUAGGAUCCCCUCUUCUCAAUAGGUAAGCAUCAACCAUCAUAUAUUGGUAUUGGUUGAUUAUGCUUUUUCAUUUUGUUAUCAUUUAUUUUAUAUAAAUUUAUCUCAUUUUGAUUAUACGGAUUAUAAAUUUUACAGUUAAUUCAGGUAAAUUUAAAUUAUUUUAUUAUUUUAUUUUUUUUAAUUUUAUUAUUUAACAAUAAUUUUAUUAAGAAUUAAAUUUCAUAAUUUAUUUUGAUUUAUUUUAUAUGAUAUUUCAUGAUCUCGCAAUAUUAAUUUUACAAUUGCUUUUAAUUUAAUUUUUAUAUAUUAUUUUCCUACUCUAUAUGCUCAUCUCGCUUAUCAUUUGGUUUUAAUAAUUUUUACAUCAUGUUUGAUUUUAAUACUAGUCCCUAUUCUUGAGUUGAUUUAAAUACUUUUCAAACUAUAUCCCCACUCACGUGGUUGGCUCGAUAUACACAUGAUCAAUAGCCCUCAUGGGUUAUAAACAUCUGAUUAGUAGUCCCUACUUAUAUAACCAGUUCAAUAAACAUCUAAUUAGUUGCCUCCACUCAUGUGACCGGCUCAUAAACAUUAUGUGACAAGGUCCAUCAUUGGGAAUGAAUACAAUUUAUGCAUAAUUAUUUUUGUUAUUGCUAUCAAUAUAUGGUUACCGUCAUUGCGAUUAAUUUAUAUUCACAUUAUUGUCAUUGCAUUCAGAUCUCAAUUUAUAUACUCGGUAUCAUUGUUGUGGUCAUUUUCUAAGAAUAUUGAGAGCAAACAACGUGAAUGAUAUGUAUGAUAACAAAUCUAAAAUUUGUUUCCCAAACAACAUCUUAUCAUAAUCAUAACAAUUUUUAAUUAAAAAAACAAUAUUUUGAUAACUUAGAUAUGAAUGAAUUUGAAAUAUUAAAAAAAUACACUGCUCACAUUUUAUCAUGGGAGACUUUCUUGGCAAUGUUAGUAAACCUGACCCAACGGUUUAACCUAGGAAUCCCUAACCAAACCUCUUAUCUUAUCUGACUUUAAAAUCAAAUCAUAUUGAAGUUGCUUUGAAAUGACCUUUUCAAUUUGGCAUUGUUUGAACUUAAAAAAAAAAUAUUAAGACAACGACAUUUUGGAUCGAUCCGAGUCAACUUGAGUUAACCCGCCAAACCAUAAUUUAGAUCCUAAACCUUGUUGGGUUUAAUAAAUUUAUUUUCUAGAUUAUUUUUUUAUUUAAUAAAAUAAUAAUAAAAACAGAUAUGCAUAGAAAAGCAAUAAGAAAAAUAAGAAAAAAAAAUCAUAAAAGAUUAUACAAAAAGAGUGCUUUCAAAUCUUAUAAAAACACUAUCAUGAUAUAAUUCAAGAACUAAGUAAAUAAUUAAAUGGCAUUUAAUAAACAACAUCCCUAAUAUAUUUUUGAUCAAUUAAUUUUAAUGAAAUUUAAUUAAAAUAGUAGGAAAAAAGUUCUUAAAAAAUCCAUGAAGGGCUUAACAAAAAGAGUUUAGGUGCCUACACCCGGGGCAAACAUGGUAGGCCCGUAACAAAGAAGGCAAGAUGCUCCUGAGCCUACAAGCCCAGACUCACAUGCCUGACCAUUCUUUUUUUUUUUUAACAUAUCGUUCACUCCUUUAAAAAAAAUCGAACAAAACGUCAUUUACAGUGGUAGAUGACAUGUUGUUUGCCAGUGCAAUUUUCAAUCACAUGAGGUGACUGGAAGGUUGACUUCACCUUCUUUAACCCAAAAUACCCACUUCCAUCCCUUUUUCUCAUUGUUAAACACCUAAUACAUACUCCAUAAACCUUGACAAACCCAUUCUUAACUUUAAACCAACCUUUAAUGGGUCAAAAAACUAAAAAAUCACCUCAAAUUCAAAAAUCUCCCGAGUCUCGAUCUAUGUUUUCCCAGCAUAAAGGGUUAAAAUCACUCCAAUAAAACUCUUUUCAUCAAAUGAAAUUCAUUGAAAUCAAGAUCAACUUUUUUAUAUAUUUUUUUAUAAAAGGUUUAACAAAAAAAGUCUAGACAACUAAGCUUUGGGAAAAAUACGUCUAGCCCAUAACAAAGAAGGCAAGACACGCGUGGGCCUACAAGGCAAGACCCAUGUGCUUGCCCAUUCUUUUUUAAUGCAUCCUCCAUCCCUUUAAAAAACAAAUAAAAUGACAUGCCAUUUGCAAUGAAAGACAUGUUGUUUACUAAUACAAGUUUUGAUCACUCGAGAUGACUGAAAAAUUGAGCUCUGCCUCAUUUGACUUAAAAAAACCACUUUUAACCAUUUUACCACUUUUAACCAUUUUUUCACCUAAAACCCCCAAAUAUAUAAUCUAUAAACCUCAAUAAAUCCAUAUCUAACUUCAAACGAACCGUUAACCUGUCAAAGAACUGGAAAAUCACCUUGCAUUUGAAAAAACUUGAGCUCUUAUCUAUGUUUUUCCAGCAAGAUAAAUAAUAAAAAACACUUUAAUGGAGCUCCUCUAAUUAAAUGAAAUUCACGAAAAUUGGUUUUUUUUUUUGUUAAAUCAUGGCCAACCAAUCAAUAUCUCUCUUAUUCAUUGUUUUUCAAUAAUAUUCUUUUGAAACGCGAUUAAAAUGAUGUUUUAGAUAAAAAAAAAUUCUAAAACUAAAUGUACCAAAAUAUAAAAAGCAAUUGGGGACUAAUUUUAUAAAUUCACACCACAUUUACAAUAAAAAAAAAUUAAAAAGAGGUUUUUAAUUUUAUUGUCAAUUUUGAUACUUAAAGUUUCAAUUUUUUAACAAUAAAAUUGAAUUCUAUUGUGUCAAAUCAAGCAUCAACCUAAUGCUGAAAUAUUUUUUUAAGGGCAUGAGAACCUUAUAAGAAGUUAAUAAAAAAGAUUAUUAGCCUUAAAACCUAUUAAACACACUAUUUAAAGAUAAAAUUAAGAGAAAAGUUAGCAAUCAAAUUAGAAAAUUCUUCAAAGAUGAAAAAGAGAAACAUGGUUGAAAUUUUCAUAAGCCCAGUUUGUUUGUUUUUUCCUUUAGUAAUUCAAUAUUGGUCUGUAUUUUUUUAAAAAAAAUUUAAAGGUUAUUUUUAUUCUUAUUAAAAAUGAUUUUUUUUAAAAGUGUUUUUCUAUGGUUUUUCAAUUUUUUUAUGAUUUUAAUAUAAAAUUUCAAAAUCAUAAGAAAAAACAUAGGAAAAACAUCAAUUUAAUAUCUUUUUAGUAAAAAAACAAAUACUUUUAAAUAAAAUUUUUAAUCAUGUUAUCAAACAAAUACUAAUGUUAGAAUAUUAGUUCGGUCACUAAGUCAUUGAACUACGUAUAACUCAACUGAUUAGGUUCUAAGUUUAUUUUUUAAAGGCCACCAGUUCAAGUUCUACAAAUUUCAGAGUCACUGGAAGUUUAUUGCUAAAUAUUUUAUUUUUUUUUCUUUUUAACACUUAUUUUUCAUAUAUAUCAAACACCCAAUAAUUAUUUUUAAAUAUUUUUUAUUUACAUAAACAAACAAAGAAUAUUUUUAAUAUUUUUUUUUACAUUCAAAAGUCUUUUGAUCUAACCCGUAAGACAAUGCCGGCUUAUAAACUAGUAUAAUAGAGACUCAAGAAAUCAACUAACUUGAAAAACAACUUUGCUAAAAUAAGGAAAGGAGACGUACACCAACCCUUCAAUCUCUCCUUUUUCUUGUUUUCUUUUUAUAAUUGGCCUUCUUAAAGAAAUAUAUAUUUAAUGAAAAACUUUAUAUAUGUCAAUGCAUGGCCAUUUUUGGAUCAUGAAGGGACAUACUUGAUAGAACAAUAGACAUACAAAUAAAUAAAUAAUAAUAAAAAAGGGUUCCUUUUUAUUUUUUUAAUUUUAAAGCUUCUUGGGUGAAGGAAACGCUUUCUUGCAAUAAUUAAAAUGCAUUGAGAUAAGCAUUGACAGCAUCUAAUUCAACAAAAAAAUAAUAAACAGCACUGUUGUUGUUGUUGAAGAAGAGGCCAACGAAAGGAUAACUAUGGAGGUGUAUAAAACAUAUUUUCAGUUUUUUCAUGUACGAGAAUGAUAUCAUAAUCUAUGGAGAUGAAUGAUACGGCACCAACAUGCAAUAAUAUUCCUCUUCCGCUCGUAAGAGAGCGACAGCCAUACAGAGGCAUCACAUGAAAACAACUAAGCAUGUUUGCUCUGUAGCACGGCGAAAAUGAACGACCUGCUUUCAUCAAAUUCAUCAACUCAUCAUUUACUUGUCAUCUUCCUGGCCAGCUAUUGCUAUGAUGAUUUUGAAUCAACCAUUGCGGGCUAAAUAAAUUCAAAGAAAAUCACCUUUAGAUUUUUUUUUUUAAUUUGUAUGACAAAGAAAUCAAGUCUAUUUUAUAUUAUUUCUAGAAAGAAGUUUGAUUCUUGCACCGUCUUCGGCUGAUUUUUCUCCUAUGCCUAGUAGGCCUGGCACAUGGGAUAGUGACGGAUAUAAGAAUCGAAUCUAUUUGAUGUUUCUUACAGUCAUUAAGAAAGCCAUUAACUUCUGCCUUCUUUCUAAAUUCAUCCGAUAUCAUCUUUCACACCAUCAGCCAUGGCUCAAGAGUCCACCAGUCUUGCAACAAAGAGGUAGCUAUAUGCUCUUUCAUCUUCUUCUUUUUUUCCUUGAAGAGUUGUUAAGAGAAUCAUUACGUUCUUAAAGUAUUUCUGUCUCAGGUAUGCAGUUGUGACAGGAGCAAACAAGGGGAUUGGAUAUGAAAUAUGUAGGCAGUUGGCUUCUAAUGGGAUUUUGGUGGUGUUGACAGCCAGAGAUGAAAAAAGGGGUCUUGAAGCUGUUCAAAAGCUGAAAGAUUCUGGCAUCUCUGAUGACCUUGUGAUUUACCAUCAACUUGAUGUGGUUGACCCUGAUAGCAUUGUUUCCCUUGCUGAAUUUGUGAAAAAUAAUUUUGGAAAACUUGACAUCUUGGUAUGAAGUAAUGAAUUUCUUGGGCUAAUCCUUUUAUUUAUUUAUUUAUGUUUAUCUGAUAGUUUCUUGAAAAUCUUGUAACCUUGUGCAGGUGAACAAUGCUGGGAUUGGUGGAGUUGCACUAGAGGCAGAUGCUUUUCAAAGAGCCUUUGAACAAGCUGGUGAAUUUGUAAGUCUUCAUAUUGUAAUGACUAAUCACUCGGAAGAUCAUUGCCUGUUCUAUGUAUAUUUACGUAACCCUUUGAUAGACCAGGAAUCAGGCAUUGGGACUAAUUAUUGCUUGUAAACAUCAUUUAACGGAUAUUGAGGUUAUUUUGAGUAGUAAAUUAAGUAGAUUUUCAUUUGUUUCCGUGGAUAUGGUCUAUGAAGUGUUGGAGAGGGUCUAAAAUUCUUUUGUUCAAAUGCAGCCAUAUGGGGAGCAAGUGUGGGCUGAAAUUGGAACUCAAAAUUAUGAGAUGGCAGAGCAAUGUGUGAAAACAAACUACUAUGGUGCAAGAGGAAUGGCUGAAGCACUUGCGCCCCUCCUACAGUUGUCUGAUUCACCAAGAAUUGUAAAUGUCUCUUCAAUGCUGGGGCUUUUAAAGGUACACGACUGUCUUUCAAGAACGGAGUCUUGGUAUUUUGGUAGUAGUUGUCUUAUCUUGAAAUUUGGCCGAGUUAUUUCUCCUCUUCAAGGAAAUCCAAAUUUUACUUCAGACUGGUUGAUGUGCAGUAACAUUUACAUGCUUUCUUAUUCUGAAUUAUCGUACUUUCUUUAUGGUAAUGUCCAAGAAUACAACUCCUAGAAAACAUGAUUUUUCCCAUAAUCCCUGUUUGUCAUAUUCUCCCCUGCUUGGUACUUUCAUGUACAAAUUGUUCCGCAAAUGCAAAUUCGCUUCCUGUGUUAGCUCAUAACAAUUAGCGUUACAGGAAUAGUCUUGUAUUUAUUAUCCUCUGAAUUUGUGUUUCAUUCAGCUCAGACUAGUACUUGCAGCAUUUCUAUAAGCAGUCUUACCAAAGUGUUUUUUUCCUGUUAUGUGGCUUAGAACAUACCCAAUGAAUGGGCCAAAGGAUUGUUAAAUGAUGUUGAAAAUCUCAAUGAAGAUAGACUAGACGAGGUUGUGAACGAGUUUCUUAAAGAUUUUAAAGAAGAUUUGUUGGGAUCCAAAGGCUGGCCAACUUAUCUGUCUGCCUAUAUUGUUGCUAAAGCUGCCAUGAGUGCCUAUACAAGGAUUCUGGCCAAGAAGUAUCCAAGCUUCCGCGUCAAUUGUCUCUGCCCUGGCUAUUGCAAAACUGACAUCACUACCAACACCGGCCCCUUCACCGCUGCCGAAGGAGCCGAAAAUGCUGUGAGAUUGGCAUUGCUGCCUGAUGGUGGGCCUUCUGGUUGUUUCUUUUAUCAGAAACAAAUGCUACCGUGCUUUUGAAUGAAAAUCAAACAUGAUAAUCAUGAUGUCGUAAACGGCUACAAGGUUUUGAAAAUUUUCUCGUCGAUGUAUUCUCAUCCAGACAGGUUAAACUGAAAGAUAUUGUCUAUGUUUAAAGAAUGUCUUAGAAAGCUGCAGAAGACCAGGAAGCUUUGCUGUUACUUGUUCAGGGGAUUUCGUCAAUAAAGAUCUUUAAUUGAAAACCAAGAUUUUAGGAAUAAAAUUUCUGAUCACAUUUGAUUUGUUGUUAUGCAAUUUUUAAAUUUUGAAUAGUCUUGGUUUCCAAGUAAAACUCUAUCUUUAUUUAAGAGUAUUCUAAAAUCAAUAAUACUAUCUUCUUCUAAUUCUUCUAAACGUCUCCUACUGCAACUAGAGAAUUAAAACCAACAAAUUGAUAUCAGAGUCAUAGAUUUUCUUGAGGGACUUGUGAGUUGAGAGAAACAACCAAAUCCAACCACAAACACAACAAAAAAAAAAACACAAAAAUGGAUUCUAAAACAAUCAUCUCACACGGUUCACCAAUGGUGAAAACUAUGAAACUUGAGCCAUCAGAAUGACAAUUCAUUUGGAGGCGUUAGAUAUCUGGGAAGCUGUGGAAGAAAAUUAUGUUGUUCUUUUUUGCCCGCAAAUCCAACAGUAGCCCAACUAAAGAUUCACAAGGAAAAGAAGACAAGAAAAUCCAAGGCUAAAGCUUGCUUAUAUGCUGCAGUGUCAAAUACAAUAUUUACAAGAAUCAUGAAUUUCGAAUUUGCAAAAGGUAUUUGGGACUAUCUUAAAAAGAAAUAUCAAGGCAAUGAAAGAACUAAAAAUAUGCAGGUUCUUAACUUAAUCAGAGAAUUUGAAAUGCAGAAGAUGAAGGAAACCAAAAAUAUCAAAGAUUGUGCUGACAGAUUGCUAAGCAUAAUAAACAAAAUAAGAUUACUUGGAAAAGAAUUUUCUGAUGACAGAAUUGUGCAGAAAAUACUGGUCACUAUGCCUGAAAAAUAUGAGUCUAAGAUUUCUUCAUUAGAGUCAAAAGACAUAACCAAUAUUUCUCUUAGAGAAUUUGUAAAUGCACUGCGUGCACAAUAGCAGAGAAGAUCAAUGAGACUUGAAGAAUCAAUGCAGGGAGCUUUUCAAGCAAGAGCUCAAUACUAAGGAGGAGGCAAAGACAAGAGAUUCAACAAGAAGAAAAAGGUUCAAACUUACAAAAACAAGGUGGAAAAAUUUCCACCAUGUACCUACUAUAAAAAAACAAAUCAUCAGCCGAUCAAGUGUUGGUGGAGACCAAACAUCAAGUGCAGAAAAUGUGGACAGAUUGGACAUGUUGAAAGAAUCUACAGGACACAACAACAUGAAGAAAAGGCGAAUCCUGUUGCUUAACAACCUGAAGAGGAGCAGCUGUUUGUUGUGUCAUGUUUUUCAACAAGCAACAGCUCGACAGAUUCCUGGUUGAUUGAUAGUGGUUGCACAAAUCACAUGACAAACAAUCAGGAUUUGUUCAAGGAACUUGACAUAACUGUUAUUUCCAAAGUUAAAAUUGAAAAUGGUGAUUAUAUUGAUGUCAAAGGCAAAAGAAUUGUUGUUUUAAACAGCCUGUCAGGUUUGAAGUAUAAGUAUAUUUCAGAUAUAUUAUAUAUGUCUGACAUUGAUCAAAACUUGCUUAGUGUUGUACAACUUAUGGAAAAAUGUUUCAAAAUAAUAUUUAAAGAUCAAUGGUGUUUGAUCAAAGACAAUUUGGACAACAACGUGUUCAGAGUAAAAAUGAAAGCAAAAGGACUUAUGACUGAUGUAUAUGCAAAAACAUACUCUUGUAAAAGGAGUUCCACAAUUGGAGAACAGAUCAGCUAACUGCGCAGCAUGUCAGCAUGUCAAUAUAGAAAGUAGGUCAAACUAAAAAAAUCUAUAAAAUAAAAACUGAGAAUCACCUUGUAAUGGGAUGUAGACAAUUAGAUCAACAUCAUAUGAUCUCUAAUAAUAAUUUUUAAACAAUAUACGAUCAAUUUACUAUUUAAUUAAGCUAACAUAAACGUAAUGCUUAUCGCCUAUUGGUCUCAUUCAUAUGCAGAGAUCUGCUCAAACCCAAGUCGCUAUGUAAAGGAUUAAACAUUCUUUAGCCCAGCAAGGCUCGAAUUAUGGCAGCUUCACCAACGCGAAUCCAUCCGAACUCAGUAUGGACACCUGAAAUUAGGAACUUCUCCUUCAGUGAUAUGGAUUACGUUAAAAGAAUAUACAAAUCAGGAAAUCCGUUUCCUUGAAGAAUCCGGAUUAGAUCUGCACUAUAAAUACAGGAUACCUGAGGCGAUUUAUCUCACAAACCCAUUCAAGCAAACCUUAGAAUUCUCUCUCAGUGCUCUCUCUUUACGCACCAGCUUCCUUGCAGCCCAUAUUCAUUGUCUUCCAAGCGAUCAUGGCUAAUUUCAGGAAAACAAUACUGGUGGUUUCUUUCUUGACGACGGCUCUUUGCGGAGUCUCCAUGGCUACCGUUUACCAAGUCGGUGACUCUGCUGGUUGGACAAGCAUGGGUCAAGUUGAUUACCAAGAUUGGGCUGCCAGCAAGAAUUUUCACGGUGGUGAUACUCUUGUCUUCAACUACGACAACCAAUUCCACAACGUGAAGCAAGUGACGCAUCAGGGUUUCGAGUCAUGCAAUGCAACGUCACCACUAGCUACUUAUACCAACGGCUCCGAUACAGUCACUCUUGGAAAGCAGCUUGGCCACUUCUACUUCAUAUGUGGUUACCCUGGUCAUUGCCAAGCAGGACAAAAGAUUGACAUCCUGGUCGUCCCUGCAACUUCAAAUUUGAGUCCUGCUGCGUCACCUAGCAGCGCUUCAUCUCUUUAUUUUAGUAAUCUGUCUUGGACUCUAGGUGUGCUAGGAUUCUGUCUCUUGGGAUUUGCUUAUUAGGAAGGUUUUCAAGUUGCCUGUCUUUUGCCAACCUCGAGGGGUUUUUUCGGUUUCAUUGAUGCAGUGCUUACUUUCUUUUUUCUUAUUUUAAUUAGCAAAGAGAUGAUUAAUGACAGAUUAAAAUUGUUUUCUGUCUAACUUUCUUUACAUGAAUACUUUGAAUAAAAAUACUAUUCGUCCAUUAUAAUUGCUGCCGCUUAUUGCACUUUGUAAUUAACCAUGUUUUUUUUUCCCGAUCUGAUAAAGCAAGGAGUAGCAAUUAAAAUUAAAAGAAAAAAAAACAAAGGAGGCUCAGUGUUUUACCACGUACCAAGAAUAAUUAUACAUCGCCAUGCUACAGUGGUCUAAAUACAUUUUUAGAUUAUUAAUAAGACAUUAGUUUCUUUGCUAUUAUAACAGCUAAAUUGUCAUCACAAUACAAAGCUACUAGAUUAAUAAUGUUAAGAAUCACAUCUAAUUUAACGAUGAACUUAUUAAUCCAAACGACGUAUUUGUUGCCUUAGACAUAGAAAUGUAUUUAGUUUUAGUUAUAAAAUCUAUUAUGAUCUUUUAUUUGAAACCCUUAUAACUUAUAAUACCAUCAUUCAUAGUAAAAUAUAUCAAAACUGAGAUUUGUUAGUGUCAAUAUCUGAUUGAAAACUAAAAUCUAAAUAAUCAUGAACUACAAAAUCAUCUCUUACAUGGACAAGAAACACACUCAUAGUUACUUAAUAAUGUUUUUAACUAUCAAUCUAUGACCUUUAAAUGGAUUAAAUUGAUAUAUAAUCAUUAUGCUUAAAGCAUAAGAUAAUUUGAUCUUGUACAUAAUGAUAUAUACAUGAUAGAUCCUAUAACCAAAGCAUAUGAAUUUCUUUCCCUCCUAUCUCUCAAGAUUUGUGUCUUAAGGCUCAUGUCUUUAAAUAAAUGUAUCCAUAUGUAUUAGAUUGGUAUAUACUCAUGCUAGAUAUGAAGUUCUUCAGGAUUAACAAAUGAACAAGUUAUUAAAUUUUAGGAGUACAUAAUCAAGUUUAUGAAUUUUACGAGGUAACUUAAAUUAUCUUAGCUCAUAGAUUUUGCGUCACACUUAUAAUAUAUUUUAGCUAUACAAUAUUAUAUACAUGAUCAUCUCUUACAUGGACAAGAAACACAAGGGCUGGGGUUGAUGGGUGUGUGUGUCAUCAAAUCCUUAUAUCAAGCCUCUGAAAAAGAGGUGCUGCUAGUCGCUAGUCAGGAGAAUAUGAAGCCAGCCUCAUGCAGCUACUGAACGAACUAAAAAUGAUUCACUGUAAUCUAAAAAUGACAAGAGGAGCAAACUUAACAUAUAACAAUCUGGAUGUUUGUAUUAAUAGUUGAAUGAAUCCAUCUCUGUUAGUACUGAGGUAGUUUUACGCGAACAAGCAAGACAGUCCGAAGUGUUCUUAGAUGUUUCACACCCUGUUUCUGUUUCUAUCAGCAUAAGAUUAAGAAAUCGUCAAUGAUCGCAAUGGAGAUUUAUAUGGACAUCAGCGAAAGAUUCCAGGUAGUUUUUGGAGUAGUUUAAAGAAAUUUAGAAUAGAAUGAUUGAAUCAAUCAAAAGAAAUUUAAAAAUUAUUAUUAUCACAAUACCAAACAUGAUUCAUAGGUUAUCAUAAUUUAAAUUUGUAUUUAUUUCGGUACAGCUAUCAUUAGUUUUCCUUGAUUUUUGAUGGCAUCCCUUUCUGAUGGCAUCUCUAUGGUAUCUAUGCCAUUUGAUCCAAAGUCGUCUGAAAUAUGCAGGACUAGAAACUAGGAAACAAAAUCGAUCCAUUUUCUGCCGUGCUCAUUAAAAUGUCAGAAAUAGACUGUUGUUCUACUAAGUCAACAUUAAACUGUGAAUACUAACAGCUACAGAUGAAAAGAGAGGUCUUCGAGCUAUUGAGAAACUGAAACGGUCUCUGUUCUCCGAUUAUGUGGUCUUUUAACAGCUUGAUGUGAUGAACCCUGCAAACAUUGCAUCUGCAGAUUUUAUGAAGACCAGAUACAGAAAACUUGAUAUUUGGUAUGGCCGAGACUCCAUUUCUACAGAACCAGUUGGUUGGGUUCAUGUAAGUUUAACCAAUCUUUUUGAACAGGAUACAAAUCAUAUAUGCACUCGACCAUUUUUGACAUUUGCAAAUGAAAAACUGGUAUAAUUAAAGGCUGCUUUUGUGUGUAUACCCCAACAUAAAUGUAGGCCAGCCUCUUAGCUCUCAUUUUAGAAAUCAGUAGAAACUGACAGACAUGCCAGUUUCCCCAUCAGCAUUUUCGUUAUUUUUCUCAAGGAAAAAAAAACUAGAAUGAAACUAAAUUCAAUGUAUUGGACAAUUUCCACAAGGCAAGUGCAAUGGACACAAGCCCAUUUUAUUUAUAUUCCCCAAGAAAUUUCUACAAUAUUAGAUACGACAAUUGAUAAAACCAAGCAUCCCCCGUCACAGGGUGAGGGGGGAAAAAAGCAAUGAGAAGAACGUCCAAGGCCAGUACUGAAACGAUUGCUCAGGAUAUGCAACCACCAAUGUAACAGUCAGAUUACAUGCCUGGAUGUGUAUGCUAGGCUAAAUCUGGAAAGAUUGUGGACACUUGCUGCAUCAAUCUAUAAUAUACUCCAAGCUAUUUUGUCAAAUUAUCAGUAUCACGAACAAGCUUCAUCGAGGGAAGCGCAAUUGCAGCCACUGGUUUAUUCUCAAAUCCACCACCUUCAUCAAUAAUCAAUCUAAGACCAUCAAUAUGAAGUUUCCCGUGGUGGCCGCUAACCACAAUGAUCGGUUUCUCAGUUAAUUCCUACGUGAAAUUAAACAUCAAACAUCCACACUUCAGUUAUAUAUAUAUAUAAAAGAACAAUGAUAUAUAUAUAUAUAUAUAUAUAUAUAUAUAUAUAUAAAAGAACAAUGAUAUAUAAUGUCUUGAAUGUGUGAAGCUGUCAACAUCCGAGUCCUUUCCCACUAAAGAAAGCUGGAGAAAUUGGUAGAUUAGGAUAAAAAGUUUCCGAUAAAAGAAAUUAGUAGUAGGUAUCGAGCCACAUGAGUCUCCUUAGCUUUCAAAAAUCUCAGUUGUUCGCCUACAUUUUUCCCUUCCUCUAAACCAGCAUGCGCGGCAAUCAAUUUACAGUGUCUAAUUCCUUCUUCAUCCUCUAUGCACACAUCAUCCU
This 14251-nucleotide long non-coding RNA is filed under the name Populus trichocarpa (black cottonwood). RNAcentral's name for it is "long non-coding RNA (PTRI_LNC000669)". The record is from RNAcentral. Lineage: Eukaryota; Viridiplantae; Streptophyta; Magnoliopsida; Malpighiales; Salicaceae.